This 253-nucleotide ribosomal RNA is filed under the name uncultured bacterium. RNAcentral's name for it is "partial 16S ribosomal RNA". It matches the Rfam family "Bacterial small subunit ribosomal RNA", at positions 524 to 776 of the family's 1533-position model. The record is from RNAcentral.
UACAGAGGGUGCAAGCGUUAAUCGGAAUUACUGGGCGUAAAGGGCUUGUAGGUGGCCAACUAAGUCAGACGUGAAAUCCCUCGGCUUAACCGGGGAACUGCGUCUGAUACUGGAUGGCUUGAGUUCGGGAGAGGGAUGCGGAAUUCCAGGUGUAGCGGUGAAAUGCGUAGAUAUCUGGAGGAACACCGGUGGCGAAGGCGGCAUCCUGGACCGACACUGACGCUGAGGAGCGAAAGCCAGGGGAGCAAACGGG